UUCAACUUAGUAAGUAAAAAAGUAUUAAAAAGAGAUGCUCUACCAACAAAUGCUGAGGUGCAACCAUAAAAAAGAAAAAAAGAAAAAAAAAAGAUCAUGUAAUAAGGGAAAAAGUGCAACACACACUCUUAAAUAAUUCCAACUUUAUUGGUUAAAAAACAUGUGACGUUUCAGCCAAAGUCAAGGCAUUUCUGCAGACUACAAGAACAAUACUGACACACACUGCUUUAUGCACUCGUAAAAUCAGCAACAGGUGUGCUACUCUACUAAUUGUGGGAGUGGCUUCCUAAAAAAAAAAAGUAAAAGAAAGCGAGAGAAAAAGAGUCCUAUCAAAACAUUUUAACAUUUCAACAUAGUAAUAAUAUUUUGAAACCUAUGAGCCUUUUUAAACAGUUCACUUUCAUAGAAAUCUUCAUCAUUAGGACAGUUAUGACAUGAAGACUGGUCAGGUGUGGAAGCUUUUUUUUCAUUCUGCUGUCAAAGUGUUGAUUCAGACUGCAGGAGACAGUGUGUGAGAGCAGCUGCUUACAUAUGGAGACCUGAGCCGAAAUUCAUCACUACUCUGAAUCAUCACUUGGACUGUGCGCUUGGAUUUAUUUUAUUUUUAAUUUUUUUUUGCCUGAAACUAAAUAAGGAAUGGAAACUAUACUAUGAGGAUGAAAUAUGCCAGUGUUCAGCACAUGUGAAACAUUAAAAACUGAGAUCCCUGUUUUUUACUAGUUUGAAUGAUGAC
Molecule: long non-coding RNA, 733 nt
Organism: Cyprinus carpio (common carp)
Lineage: Eukaryota; Metazoa; Chordata; Actinopteri; Cypriniformes; Cyprinidae
Source: Ensembl